GCUCUUCCUUCGGUAACCUUCUGUCCCUAUAUUGUUGGGUGCCGGGGCAACCCGGCUAUGGCGAUAAAUGGCCGUCGUAAUAAACCUUUCGGACCCGGGGGCAGUACCCGGCGCCUCCACCCAAGCCCCCACCCUUACCCUCCCCCGCAUGCGGGGAGGGAUAAAGGGAGGGGGGGGCUUCGGCGGGGGCGAACUAGGAUCGACGAGGGCGUAAAGGACGAACUUUUGCUCGGCAUGGUACCGCCGUUAUCGGGCCAAAUCGUAGUUGCAAAUGACAACUAUGCUCCGGUUGCUCAGGCCGCGUAAGCGGUUUGAAUAACCAAGCCUACAAGUCCUAGCCGUCUUAGCAGCGGUUAGGCGGGGUUCGGAGGCACCUGGCAACAGAAGCCUCCACU
This 395-nucleotide transfer-messenger RNA is filed under the name Hyphomicrobiales bacterium. It matches the Rfam family "Alphaproteobacteria transfer-messenger RNA". Rfam says of the family: Bacterial tmRNA, also known as 10Sa RNA or SsrA, is named for its dual tRNA and mRNA-like properties. Its role is to liberate the mRNA from a stalled ribosome. The record is from RNAcentral. Lineage: Bacteria; Pseudomonadati; Pseudomonadota; Alphaproteobacteria; Hyphomicrobiales.